This 447-nucleotide ribosomal RNA is filed under the name uncultured bacterium. RNAcentral's name for it is "partial 16S ribosomal RNA". It matches the Rfam family "Bacterial small subunit ribosomal RNA", at positions 29 to 523 of the family's 1533-position model. The record is from RNAcentral.
AACGAACGCUGGCGGCAGGCCUAACACAUGCAAGUCGAGCGCGUAGCAAUACGAGCGGCGCACGGGAUAGUAACGCGUGGGAACCUACCUUUCGGUUCGGAAUAACAUCGGGAAACUGGUGCUAAUACCGGAUACGCCCUUCGGGGGAAAGAUUUAUUGCCGAUAGAUGGGCCCGCGUUGGAUUAGCUAGUUGGUGAGGUAACGGCUCACCAAGGCAACGAUCCAUAGCUGGUCUGAGAGGAUGAUCAGCAUCACUGGGACUGAGACACGGCCCAGACUCCUACGGGAGGCAGCAGUGGGGAAUAUUGGACAAUGGGGGCAACCCUGAUCCAGCCAUGCCGCGUGAAUGAUGAAGGCCUUCGGGUUGUAAAGUUCUUUUGGUGGGGACGAUGAUGACGGUACCCACAGAAUAAGCUCCGGCUAACUUCGUGCCAGCCGCCGCGGUAA